RNAcentral lists this ribosomal RNA (253 nucleotides) under uncultured bacterium. RNAcentral's name for it is "partial 16S ribosomal RNA". It matches the Rfam family "Bacterial small subunit ribosomal RNA", at positions 524 to 776 of the family's 1533-position model. The record is from RNAcentral.
UACGUAGGGUGCAAGCGUUGUCCGGAAUUAUUGGGCGUAAAGAGCUCGUAGGCGGUUUGUUGCGUCGGCUGUGAAAUCCCCGGGCUUAACCUGGGAAUGGCAUUUGGGACUGCAAGGCUCGAGUGCGGCAGAGGAGACUGGAAUUCCUGGUGUAGCAGUGAAAUGCGUAGAUAUCAGGAGGAACACCGAUGGCGAAGGCAGGUCUCUGGGCUGACACUGACGCUCAUGCACGAAAGCGUGGGGAGCAAACAGG